Molecule: ribosomal RNA, 440 nt
Filed under: uncultured bacterium
Lineage: Bacteria
Description: partial 16S ribosomal RNA
Rfam family: Bacterial small subunit ribosomal RNA
Source: RNAcentral
CCUACGGGAGGCAGCAGUGGGGAAUAUUGCACAAUGGGGGAAACCCUGAUGCAGCGACGCCGCGUGAGUGAAGAAGUAAUUCGUUAUGUAAAGCUCUAUCAGCAGGGGAGAAAAUGCCGGUACCUGAGUCAGAAGCCGCGGCUAACUACGUGCCAGCAGCCGCGGGAAUACGUAGGGGGCAGGCGUUAUUCGGAUUUCCUGGGUGUAAAGGGAGCGUAGACGGCAGUGCAAGUCUGGAGUGAAAGGCGGGGGCUCAACCCCCGGACUGCCCUGGAAACUGUACGGCUGGAGUGCAGGAGAGGUAAGUGGAAUUCCUAGUGUAGCGGUGAAAUGCGUAGAUAUUAGGAGGAACACCAGUGGCGAAGGCGGCUUACUGGACUCUAACUGACGUUGAGGCUCGAAAGCGUGGGGAGCAAACAGGAUUAGAUACCCGGGUAGUC